UACGUAUGGUGCAAGCGUUAUCCGGAUUUACUGGGUGUAAAGGGUGCGUAGGUGGCAUAUCAAGUCAGAUGUGAAAACUUAGGGCUCAACCCCGAGACUGCAUUUGAAACUGAUAAGCUGGAGUACAGGAGAGGAAAGCAGAAUUCCUAGUGUAGCGGUGAAAUGCGUAGAUAUUAGGAGGAAUACCGGUGGCGAAGGCGGCUUUCUGGACUGUUACUGACACUGAGGCACGAAAGCGUGGGGAG
RNAcentral lists this ribosomal RNA (245 nucleotides) under uncultured Lachnospiraceae bacterium. Its description in RNAcentral is "partial 16S ribosomal RNA". It matches the Rfam family "Bacterial small subunit ribosomal RNA", at positions 524 to 768 of the family's 1533-position model. The record is from RNAcentral. Lineage: Bacteria; Bacillati; Bacillota; Clostridia; Lachnospirales; Lachnospiraceae.